CACUGUUUGAGGUACCUGGAAUUACAUUUUCUUACCGGAAAAAGGAUUGGUGUUCCUUCCCGUUUUAAUAACGAUCACAAAUCAUGGGUCCAAGCAAGUUGUUUGCUGUCGUGCUGAUCAUCUGUCUAGCUGGCGCUAUGGCGGACGAUUACAAAGAAGAGCCAUGCAAAUGCGAGUGUAAGAAAUCGUGUUCCAAGGGCGAAUGCUACAUCAAGGGUUGGAAGAAAUGUCCAUACGGAAAGAAAUAUUGCUGUAGCUGCAAUACACCGUAUAUACCAUAAACGGUAGCAAUUGAUCUGUAUUGCCAAUGAUACACAUUUGGUAUUAAAAAUACCGAAUUCA
This is a long non-coding RNA of Dreissena polymorpha, 342 nucleotides long. RefSeq lists it as uncharacterized. The transcript has 3 exons. The record is from RefSeq and is a predicted model, not a curated record. NCBI's taxonomy places the organism in Eukaryota, Metazoa, Mollusca, Bivalvia, Myida, Dreissenidae.